This is a non-coding RNA of Caenorhabditis elegans, 207 nucleotides long. NCBI's taxonomy places the organism in Eukaryota, Metazoa, Nematoda, Chromadorea, Rhabditida, Rhabditidae. The record is from Ensembl.
GAUCGGGUGGUGGCGGGGCAGCGAUACUGAUGCGACACGCUGCGUCUCUAUUUCUUCAGCACUCUCUCUGUUCUUGGCAACGUGCCAAACACCAGGGGCGGCGUCGAAACGGAAAAUAUGGGCGGAGCGAAGUAUAGAAGAGACGAGCUGUCUCUCUCGCAUUUUGUUCGUUUUCCGCCCCCUUGUAACUCGCCGAUAUGUUUAUUG